GAUGAACGCUGGCGGCGUGCUUAACACAUGCAAGUCGAACGGGAUCGGCUGGAGCUUGCUCCGGCCGUGAGAGUGGCGAACGGGUGAGUAAUGCGUGACCGACCUGCCCCAUACACCGGAAUAGCUCCUGGAAACGGGUGGUAAUGCCGGAUGCUCCGACAUGACGCAUGUCGUGUCGGGAAAGAUUCAUCGGUAUGGGAUGGGGUCGCGUCCUAUCAGCUUGAUGGCGGGGUAACGGCCCACCAUGGCUUCGACGGGUAGCCGGCCUGAGAGGGCGACCGGCCACAUUGGGACUGAGAUACGGCCCAGACUCCUACGGGAGGCAGCAGUGGGGAAUAUUGCACAAUGGGCGCAAGCCUGAUGCAGCGACGCCGCGUGCGGGAUGACGGCCUUCGGGUUGUAAACCGCUUUUGACUGGGAGCAAGCCCU
RNAcentral lists this ribosomal RNA (429 nucleotides) under uncultured bacterium. RNAcentral describes it as "bacterial SSU rRNA". It matches the Rfam family "Bacterial small subunit ribosomal RNA", at positions 28 to 454 of the family's 1533-position model. The record is from RNAcentral.